This 1243-nucleotide ribosomal RNA is filed under the name Okra bunchy top phytoplasma. RNAcentral describes it as "bacterial SSU rRNA". It matches the Rfam family "Bacterial small subunit ribosomal RNA", at positions 156 to 1399 of the family's 1533-position model. Lineage: Bacteria; Bacillati; Mycoplasmatota; Mollicutes; Acholeplasmatales; Acholeplasmataceae. The record is from RNAcentral. RNAcentral also lists the same sequence under 1 other name.
ACGACUGCUAAGACUGGAUAGGAGACAAGAGGGCAUCUUCUUGUUUUUAAAAGACCUAGCAAUUGGUAUGCUUAGGGAGGAGCUUGCGUCACAUUAGUUAGUUGGUGGGGUAAAGGCCUACCAAGACUAUGAUGUGUAGCCGGGCUGAGAGGUUGAACGGCCACAUUGGGACUGAGACACGGCCCAAACUCCUACGGGAGGCAGCAGUAGGGAAUUUUCGGCAAUGGAGGAAACUCUGACCGAGCAACGCCGCGUGAACGAUGAAGUAUUUCGGUACGUAAAGUUCUUUUAUUAGGGAAGAAUAAAUGAUGGAAAAAUCAUUCUGACGGUACCUAAUGAAUAAGCCCCGGCUAACUAUGUGCCAGCAGCCGCGGUAAUACAUAGGGGGCAAGCGUUAUCCGGAAUUAUUGUGCGUAAAGGGUGCGUAGGCGGUUAAAUAAGUUUAUGGUCUAAGUGCAAUGCUCAACAUUGUGAUGCUAUAAAAACUGUUUAGCUAGAGUAAGAUAGAGGCAAGUGGAAUUCCAUGUGUAGUGGUAAAAUGCGUAAAUAUAUGGAGGAACACCAGUUGCGAAGGCGGCUUGCUGGGUCUUUACUGACGCUGAGGCACGAAAGCGUAGGGAGCAAACAGGAUUAGAUACCCUGGUAGUCCACGCCGUAAACGAUGAGUACUAAACGUUGGGUAAAACCAGUGUUGGAGUUAACACAUUAAGUACUCCGCCUGAGUAGUACGUACGCAAGUAUGAAACUUAAAGGAAUUGACGGGACUCCGCACAAGCGGUGGAUCAUGUUGUUUAAUUCGAAGGUACCCGAAAAACCUCACCAGGUCUUGACAUGCUUCUGCAAAGCUGUAGAAACACAGUGGAGGUUAUCAGUUGCACAGGUGGUGCAUGGUUGUCGUCAGCUCGUGUCGUGAGAUGUUGGGUUAAGUCCCGCAACGAGCGCAACCCUUAUUGUUUGUUACCAGCACGUAAUAGUGGGGACUUUAGCAAGACUGCCAGUGAUAAAUUGGAGGAAGGUGGGGACGACGUCAAAUCACCAUGCCCCUUAUGACCUGGGCUACAAACGUGAUACAAUGGCUGUUACAGAGGGUAGGUGAAGCGCAAGUUUUUGGCGAAUCUCAAAAAAACAGUCUCAGUUCGGAUUGAAGUCUGCAACCCGACUUCAUGAAGUUGGAAUCGCUAGUAAUCGCGAAUCAGCAUGUCGCGGUGAAUACGUUGACGGGGUUUGUACACACCGCCCGUCA